RNAcentral lists this transfer RNA (88 nucleotides) under Flavobacteriaceae bacterium. Its description in RNAcentral is "tRNA-Ser". It matches the Rfam family "tRNA". From Rfam's summary of the family: Transfer RNA (tRNA) molecules are approximately 80 nucleotides in length. Their secondary structure includes four short double-helical elements and three loops (D, anti-codon, and T loops). RNAcentral also lists the same sequence under 1 other name. The record is from RNAcentral. Lineage: Bacteria; Pseudomonadati; Bacteroidota; Flavobacteriia; Flavobacteriales; Flavobacteriaceae.
AGAGAGGUGGCCGAGUGGUCGAAGGCGCACGCCUGGAAAGUGUGUAUACAUCUAAAGUGUAUCGAGGGUUCGAAUCCCUUCCUCUCUG